RNAcentral lists this ribosomal RNA (380 nucleotides) under Thermomonosporaceae bacterium ACTS157. Its description in RNAcentral is "bacterial SSU rRNA". It matches the Rfam family "Bacterial small subunit ribosomal RNA", at positions 19 to 402 of the family's 1533-position model. Lineage: Bacteria; Bacillati; Actinomycetota; Actinomycetes; Streptosporangiales; Thermomonosporaceae. The record is from RNAcentral.
CUGGCUCAGGACGAACGCUGGCGGCGUGCUUAACACAUGCAAGUCGAGCGGAAAGGCCCUUCGGGGUACUCGAGCGGCGAACGGGUGAGUAACACGUGAGCAACCUGCCCCCGACUCUGGGAUAAGCCCGGGAAACUGGGUCUAAUACCGGAUACGACCACUCCAGGCAUCUGGUGGUGGUGGAAAGUUUUUUCGGUCGGGGAUGGGCUCGCGGCCUAUCAGCUUGUUGGUGGGGUAGCGGCCUACCAAGGCGACGACGGGUAGCCGGCCUGAGAGGGCGACCGGCCACACUGGGACUGAGACACGGCCCAGACUCCUACGGGAGGCAGCAGUGGGGAAUAUUGCACAAUGGGGGAAACCCUGAUGCAGCGACGCCGCGU